CAGGAGUGAAACUGCAAACCUUCAUGGGGA
RNAcentral lists this non-coding RNA (30 nucleotides) under Homo sapiens (human). The record is from RNAcentral. Lineage: Eukaryota; Metazoa; Chordata; Mammalia; Primates; Hominidae.